AAUAAAUAAAUAAAUAAAUAAUAGUUAUGGCAUGACUGGCAUUGGAUAAAAAUUAAAUGAUGUAGACUUUCCAUCGGCAACUUAUAAUUGCAACAGGUAAUGAUACUAACUGUUGCUCAAAAAUAGAUUAACCAUCAUCAAAGACCUCAAUCACCAAAUAAAGUUGCUAUCAAUGAUGUGAACAAUUAGGGGUUUAGUCAUUAAUCAGCUUGUUUAGAAUGCAUACUAUCUACGCUAUGCAGGGGAUGCAGUUUUCCAUUGAAUGAUUCCACUGGAAGUCAAAAAAUCCAGCAAUGAAUGAGAAAAUAUCAUGGUCUGAUAAUGAAAGAGAAAGAAAGUCCUGCCAUAGAGUGUAUGGAGCAGCAUUAUCAACAUCAACUUAAGAAAACCAAACGAGCUUCUCAUUGCAUGCAUCAAGCUUACAUCAGAUACCAAAUCAAAAUUUAAUUCGCAAAAGAUUGGCUCAGUAUAGAUGGUACUCUGUCACAAAGCCGUUUACAAAGCACGCUUUGAAAUCAAUUUGAGUAUACUCAAAAAGCAUAUAGGUUAAAGAGAGCAAAAGGAAUGACAGAGAAGAUGAAGAACUAAAGAACCCUUCCAUUCUAUAGAAGUUUUCUGCAUAGUACCAGAAUUCCUGUAUGCUAAAGCCUUGUUACACUUCACUAGUCCUCCCCCCUACAAGUUUCUGCAUUUGUGAUUCUAUGUAAUGUGAUUAGUUCAACUGAAAAGCAGUAGAAUGCUAGAGAAAAAGAAAAGAAUUAGAACAAAAAGCAAAUUCAUAGAUCUACAAUGCAGUAAAUAGCACAAAUGAACUGAUUUAGAACACAGAAAAUAGCACAAAUGUACUACAAUACACAUAUAUUGCAUAUGCCACUAAAAAUUAGUUUAUUCCAGGAGAUAAAACACAGAGAUAAGGAUGAGAUGGGUUGUAUCCUUCUAAAUGGGGGCAGAUUCGAUGAUAUAUACAAAUGAACGACAGAAAAAUAAACAAGACUAUCUCAUAUAUAUGGAGCCUUCCUUUCUCUUUUAUUAUCAGCUGACAUGCACAUCUCACUCGAUUCAAAUGCAGUGGAUGACUGUUUACUCAGAAGUCUCACAAACGAAAUGAUCAACAGCUGUGGCCAAAAUAUGGAGUGCACCUAGCCCAGCUAAAGCAAUCCCAAAAGCUUCUCUUCUUGUUCCUCCCUGAAAGCUUAGCAUUUUCAGUUUCAUUUCUUUUCAGCAUCUCCCACAUAACACGAACAUCCUCAUAUUCACAAGCUCUUACAUCAUGAUGCAGCUUGAGUAACCCUAUCAUUUUCCCCCAGAAACAUUAGAUAAAAAUUAAGUAAAUCAAAACAUAUGCUACAAAUCAAGAAAAUCAUCAAACGCAGAAUACCCUGGACAUUUUAAGGAACUUUAAUUCUCCAAAAGAAACAAUGUGUAUAUGUUAAAGUCAUUUCAUCAACUGGGAAUCCCUCCCCCAAUUCUGUAGCCCUCAUGUCGCUGAUAGAAAAAGAUGGACAUAGCUACCAUGAUCUAGUGCGCGAAAAACUUCUAAUUUGAAAACAAAGGAUGUAAAGGACCAGGGUUUUGACUAUUGCUACAAAUUCAAGUUUGGCUGGCUAGCACAAUAUGACAAUAGCAGUCUGCCACCUCCCAUCUACCGGUGUCAAAAAAUUUCCCACAGAAAGAAAAAGGAUAUCACAAAAUUGCAAAUAAUUUUUUUAAUGACAGUGCUAUUACUCAUUUUAUAUUCAAUUAUGCAUUUGUUGGAACUAAUUCAUAACUGAAAUGAAUUUGAAUUCAGCUGGAUCUAUUUUUUGAAUUAAACUUGUGAAACCAGUACUGAUAAGAUGAAAUUAAAUUGAAAUAAAACAUA
Molecule: unclassified non-coding RNA, 1861 nt
Filed under: Hevea brasiliensis (rubber tree)
Lineage: Eukaryota; Viridiplantae; Streptophyta; Magnoliopsida; Malpighiales; Euphorbiaceae
Source: RNAcentral